UUGGUAUCAAGUGAUCUUAAAGAAAGGCA
RNAcentral lists this non-coding RNA (29 nucleotides) under Mus musculus (house mouse). The record is from RNAcentral. Lineage: Eukaryota; Metazoa; Chordata; Mammalia; Rodentia; Muridae.